Molecule: ribosomal RNA, 975 nt
Filed under: Triticum aestivum (bread wheat)
Lineage: Eukaryota; Viridiplantae; Streptophyta; Magnoliopsida; Poales; Poaceae
Description: partial small subunit ribosomal RNA
Source: RNAcentral
AUGCCCUACGACGGGAGUGCGAUGACCUCGUUCCCAUCAGCGCCGCCGCCAUCCCAGGGCGUCCACAUCCAGCAGAUCAAGUCCCCGCCGUCGCCGUCAGCGCUUCCGUCUUGGAUUGCUACCCGCCACGUGUUGGCGGCGGUGAGGCUGCAGGCUGCUGCGCGCGGCCUCCUAGCGCGUCGGCGUGUGCGGGAGAUGCGUGGUCUGCAGCUGUCGCUCCUCCAAGUUGCCCUUCGCUGUGCAAAGGACCUCGAUCUCGUCCACUGUGUCGGGGAUCUUGGGCAUGCGGUUUCCCCCAUGGGCGGCGGACAUGCUGUUUUCCCCGCGGGUAGCGACCUCAAAGUCUGCGACAUCGGCGGUUGGGGGGGGCACCCCUUCUCGUCAUUCUCCAUCGCAAGACCUCCACUCUUCCCUGUGCGGUGCAGACCAAUAGUCGUCCGGCGGGGAGAAGGCAGGGUGUCACCGAUAGGAGUGCACAGCGGUGCACCACUGCUUUCCGCCGCCGGCCGCCGCGAGGGCGCCUUUGCUGGUCGCUCUUGCGACCACUUCCAGGUGGCCAUACACAUGCACUCCUUUGGUCCAGGUGGUGUCCAUGGGAUCCAGGUGGCUAUACACGUGCACGUCCAACGUGCGGAUGGUGUCCACUUUUUGUUGAGGGGUUCCAAAAUAAAGCGUCCCAGUCCAUUUCAGGUUGAGAGUCAUAAAACAAGCCGAGAUGUAAAAGGCUUGUUUUUAGGUGUUAGGUUUGUGUUGCGUCGAGUCAUGGUUAUAAGUUGGUUAGGCUGCAGCUCGAGGACAAGUUGUAUGUCCAGGUGGGGUGUAGUGUUAGAGUAUGUAAUGGGCCUGGGCUGGCGGUAUAGCCCAUUAGUCUUAGGGUUAAUUAGAGAUAAGGGUCGCUUGCUUAGGGGUCAAGUAAGCCUUGCUUGGGAGUCAAGUAAACCUCUCUAUAUAAAGAGAGGAGAUGUAUCAAUCUAA